RNAcentral lists this unclassified non-coding RNA (310 nucleotides) under Hevea brasiliensis (rubber tree). The record is from RNAcentral. Lineage: Eukaryota; Viridiplantae; Streptophyta; Magnoliopsida; Malpighiales; Euphorbiaceae.
GGCCCAUUCAUGCGAGCAAUCGCAGAUUGCAGCCUAUCAAAGUCCAGCCACUUUACCCCGACUUUGAUCGGUACAAGGACCCGUUUGUGCUUGCGAAUUACGAUAGUGCUCCAACUGCUGAUUCAGAAACUUACAGCAAGUUGGAUAAAACUGUUCGGGAUGCAUGUGAAUCACAGGCCGUUAUGAAAAGCUUCGUGGCUACAAGCUCAGAUGCCGAUAAACCUGACAAAUUUCUGGCAUAUAUGGUCCCUGCGCCGAAUGAGCUAUCGAAGGAUAUUUAUGAUGAAAGUGAGGAUAUCUCAUACUCUUG